This 339-nucleotide long non-coding RNA is filed under the name Zonotrichia albicollis (white-throated sparrow). RNAcentral describes it as "lncRNA (ENSZALG00000004948.1)". The record is from RNAcentral. Lineage: Eukaryota; Metazoa; Chordata; Aves; Passeriformes; Passerellidae.
CUACAACCUCCAGGUAUGAGUACCAAGGGAAACAAGCCAAGCUGACGUCAACUUAUAAGAGGCACUGCCAGUGAAGAAAAUGACACUUGCAAACGGGGCUUUUGCUGCUUUCCUGCUUGUGGAUUUCCCUAGAAGGGAAGUGAAUUCAUCGAAGGAAGAAGCCAGAGUGCUCCAGUCCUGCUGCUAGACCUGUCUGCAAGCUGUGGCAUCUCGGGUACAGGAGUGUGAAGAACGACUGGAGCGUUAAAUAAGGACGUGGAUAAGUGUGGCAAUUCCCUGCUGACUGCCAGAACAGCCUGCAGAGCAGAGACUGAGGCCAGCCUCUCUUCCCCUCCAAGU